This 69-nucleotide non-coding RNA is filed under the name Acidobacteriota bacterium. Its description in RNAcentral is "Acidobacteria bacterium Fluoride sequence". It matches the Rfam family "Fluoride riboswitch aptamer (crcB RNA motif)". The record is from RNAcentral. Lineage: Bacteria; Pseudomonadati; Acidobacteriota.
CGUUCGCUGGGCGGUGGGGUCCGCCAUCAACCGUCACGUGUCCGCGUGGCCAAUGACUCCUGCCAGGGA